RNAcentral lists this ribosomal RNA (303 nucleotides) under uncultured Anaeroplasmataceae bacterium. RNAcentral's name for it is "bacterial SSU rRNA". It matches the Rfam family "Bacterial small subunit ribosomal RNA", at positions 28 to 339 of the family's 1533-position model. The record is from RNAcentral. Lineage: Bacteria; Bacillati; Mycoplasmatota; Mollicutes; Anaeroplasmatales; Anaeroplasmataceae.
GAUUAACGCUGGCGGCAUGCCUAAUACAUGCAAGUCGAACGGUCUAGCUUGCUAGACAGUGGCGAACGGGUGAGUAACACGUAGGUAAUCCACCCUUAGGACGAGGAUAGCUUCUGGAAACGGAAGGUAAAACUGGAUAGUAUAUAGGAAGGCAUCUUCUUAUAUUUAAAAGAGCAAUCUACCUAAGGAAGAGCCUGCGGCGCAUUAGCCAGUUGGCGGGGUAAUGGCCCACCAAAGCGAUGAUGCGUAGCCGGACUGAGAGGUUGAACGGCCACAUUGGGACUGAGACACGGCCCAGACUCC